AUGCUGGAGGUAUCAGAAGUGCGAAUGCUGACAUAAGUAACGAUAAAGCGGGUGAAAAGCCCGCUCGCCGGAAGACCAAGGGUUCCUGUCCAACGUUAAUCGGGGCAGGGUGAGUCGACCUCUAAGGCGAGGCCGAAAGGCGUAGUCGAUGGGAAACAGGUUAAUAUUCCUGUACUUGGUGUUACUGCGAAGGGGGGACGGAGAAGGCUAUGUUGGCCGGGCGACGGUUGUCCCGGUUUAAGCGUGUAGGCUGGUUUUCCAGGCAAAUCCGGAAAAUCAAGGCUGAGGCGUGAUGACGAGGCACUACGGUGCUGAAGCAACAAAUGCCCUGCUUCCAGGAAAAGCCUCUAAGCAUCAGGUAACAUCAAAUCGUACCCCAAACCGACACAGGUGGUCAGGUAGAGAAUACCAAGGCGCUUGAGAGAACUCGGGUGAAGGAACUAGGCAAAAUGGUGCCGUAACUUCGGGAGAAGGCA
This 476-nucleotide ribosomal RNA is filed under the name Escherichia coli. RNAcentral describes it as "bacterial LSU rRNA". It matches the Rfam family "Bacterial large subunit ribosomal RNA", at positions 1270 to 1748 of the family's 2925-position model. Lineage: Bacteria; Pseudomonadati; Pseudomonadota; Gammaproteobacteria; Enterobacterales; Enterobacteriaceae. The record is from RNAcentral.